UACGAAGGGAGCUAGCGUUGUUCGGAAUCACUGGGCGUAAAGCGCACGUAGGCGGAUGUGUCAGUCAGGGGUGAAAUCCCGGAGCUCAACUUCGGAACUGCCCUUGAUACAGCACGUCUUGAGUCCGGAAGAGGUGGGUGGAAUUCCUAGUGUAGAGGUGAAAUUCGUAGAUAUUAGGAAGAACACCAGUGGCGAAGGCGGCUCACUGGUCCGGUACUGACGCUGAGGUGCGAAAGCGUGGGGAGCAAACAGG
RNAcentral lists this ribosomal RNA (253 nucleotides) under uncultured bacterium. Its description in RNAcentral is "partial 16S ribosomal RNA". It matches the Rfam family "Bacterial small subunit ribosomal RNA", at positions 524 to 776 of the family's 1533-position model. The record is from RNAcentral.